RNAcentral lists this long non-coding RNA (290 nucleotides) under Sus scrofa (pig). RNAcentral describes it as "lncRNA (ENSSSCG00070020538.1)". Lineage: Eukaryota; Metazoa; Chordata; Mammalia; Artiodactyla; Suidae. The record is from RNAcentral.
AAGCAAAGGAUGGAUUAGGAAAGAUUGAAGAAGACAGUUUACCCUUUUCAUUCCUGCUGCCAAUUAUAAGUCCAUGUGGGGUGGCAGGAGAUUUUUUCAUGGAUGAGAUCUCAGUUUGGGAGAGAGAUUUAAUAAAGGAAAAAUCCAAAAUAAAUUUCUAAUUGGCUUGGGUCCUUGGAAGAAGGAAACAGUUUCAGCUGCUCUUCUCCAAUAUAUGUUAUAAUAGACCAUGGAAAACUCGUGGAUGACUUCAGAAAUAACUCCAAGAUACAUAGGAAAAAAAGAAAGAA